Molecule: long non-coding RNA, 1011 nt
Organism: Rosa chinensis
Lineage: Eukaryota; Viridiplantae; Streptophyta; Magnoliopsida; Rosales; Rosaceae
Exons: 3
Source: RefSeq, a predicted model, not a curated record
CUAUUGUCUGAUUAUGGCAAUUUUGUUACCUUCAUCUAGGAUGCUACAGAUUUUUGAGGCCCUGGAAAUUUGAUGUUGCGAAAACAAAGAAAAUGUGGGCCGAUAUGAUAUGCUCCUGUGGAGGAAGGGAUCUGGUGCUGACACCAGUAUGAGUUAUAUAUUCUAUAGCUCUUUGCUUUGAACUUGCCAUAUAUUCUACAAUCUCUGAUUCUCUGUUAGCUUUAACAAGCUUGUCAUGCAAGUGUGACAAACUAUGGAGGGUCGUUUUGAGAGGUCCUAUGUGUACUAAACCUGAUGCUUUGUUGGGCUGAAGGAGAGCUGAAAAUUUGAUGAAACUUGAUGGUCACGAUAUAUUUUUUUUUUUUUGAAAGGAGAUGGUAACGAUAUAUAUGGCUCAAGAGAGGAGGAAUUUGUAUCUCUGAGCGUGAUUGAAGGUUGGACAAUGUGUUUGAACUUGUGAAGCUGCUGCUUUGAACAACAUAUUAUGAUUGAUGUACAAUGCAAUGUGAAGUUCAUACAGACAUAAUCAAAUCACAUCACUUUGGACUCGCUAAUCAGGAGAAUGAUGACUCCAAUCUUCUAUCUGAACAUCACAGAAUGACUGAUUUCCGGAUGGAUGGUCAUCCUUUAAUUUACAAAAGCAGAUUUUGACUGAGGAGGACCUUUGAGGCUUCGAGAUAUUGCGAUUGCAGUCAUUGCUCCAUCUCUGGUUUUCCUGAUACAUGAGGCUAGAGCAUCAGCAAGUAGAUCCCAAAUAAUAGAUACGGAAGCUCAGCUAUUUGGAUAGCUACACUGCUAAAAAAAAUUUGGAGACAAUAAUCUGUAAUUCUUCAUUGGUAGUAGAUAACCACACAAUCUAACCUAAUGCGCGCAGUGUUCAAACCUCAUGGUUGUAAACUAUAUGGCCAAUGCGGCAAUGCUAGAAAUUUGACAGGACUUUUGUGAACACAAAUCUACGAAGAUGUGGUCGAUAAUUGUGAAUCCUAGCUAUCAUAGCUUUAUUCUAAACUC